This 950-nucleotide ribosomal RNA is filed under the name uncultured bacterium. RNAcentral's name for it is "bacterial SSU rRNA". It matches the Rfam family "Bacterial small subunit ribosomal RNA", at positions 62 to 1057 of the family's 1533-position model. The record is from RNAcentral.
UCUAGGGGCCGCAAGGCAACCGGCAGACGAGGUAGUAACACGUAGGAACGUACCCUGAAGUCUCGUAUAGCUUACCGAAAGGUGAGGUAAUCCGAGAUAGUCUCGUAAGAGUAAAGAUCCGUCGCUUCGGGAGCGGCCUGCGUAAUAUCACGCUAGUUGGUGAGGUAAUGGCUCACCAAGGCUAUGACGUUUAGGGGAGCUGAGAGGCUGAUCCCCACCGAUGAAACUGAGAACGGUUCAUACCCCUACGGGGGGCCGCAGCCGAGAAUAUUCGACAAUGGGCGAAAGCCUGAUCGAGCGAUACCGCGUGGUGGAUGAAGCGCUUCGGCGCGUAAACACCUUUUAUGGGGGAAGAAGUUAUUGACAUUACCUCAUGAAUAAGGGGCUCCUAACUCUGUGCCAGCAGGAGCGGUAAUACAGAGGCCCCGAGCAUUACCCGGAAUUACUGGGCGUAAAGAGUGCGUAGGUGGUCGUGUUAGUCGUUCGUUAAAACCCCCGGCUCAACCGGGGAUCGGCGAACGAAACGGCACGACUAGAGAGCGUGAGAGGUCCGUGGAACUCUAGGUGUAGGGGUGAAAUCCGUUGAUAUCUAGGGGAACACCGAAAGCGAAGGCAGCGGACUGGCGCGUUUCUGACACUCAAGCACGAAAGCGUGGGUAGCGAACGGGAUUAGAUACCCCGGUAGUCCACGCCCUAAACUAUGAUAACUGGCUUUCCGGAGUAUCGACCCUCUGGGAGGCGAAGCUAACGCGUUAAGUUAUCCGCCUGGGUAGUACGGCCGCAAGGCUAAAACUCAAAGGAAUAGACGGGGGCUUGCACAAGCGGUGGAGCGUGUGGCUUAAUUCGUCGCUAAGCGAAGAACGUUACCAGGGCUAGAAAUCCUACUGCACGCCUAGCGAAAGCUAGGAAGCCUUUCGAGGGUGUAGACAGGUGAUGCAUGGCUGUCGUCA